UACGUAAGUGGCGAGCGUUAUCCGGAAUUACUGGGCGUAAAGAGCGCGCAGGCGGUCGUUCAAGUCGCGUGUGAAAGCCCCCGGCUCAACUGGGGAGGGUCACGCGAUACUGAUCGACUCGAAGGCAGGAGAGGGUAGUGGAAUUCCCGGUGUAGUGGUGAAAUGCGUAGAUAUCGGGAGGAACACCAGUGGCGAAGGCGACUACCUGGCCUGUUCUUGACGCUGAGGCGCGAAAGCUGGGGGAGCAAACGGG
This 253-nucleotide ribosomal RNA is filed under the name uncultured bacterium. RNAcentral's name for it is "partial 16S ribosomal RNA". It matches the Rfam family "Bacterial small subunit ribosomal RNA", at positions 524 to 776 of the family's 1533-position model. The record is from RNAcentral.